UACGGAGGGUGCAAGCGUUAUCCGGAUUCACUGGGUUUAAAGGGUGUGUAGGCGGAUUUUUAAGUCAGUGGUGAAAUCUCCGGGCUCAACCCGGAAACUGCCAUUGAUACUAUUAGUCUUGAAUUCUGUUGAGGUGGGCGGAAUACAUCAUGUAGCGGUGAAAUGCUUAGAUAUGAUGUAGAACACCGAUUGCGAAGGCAGCUCACUAAGCAGAACAUUGACGCUGAGGCACGAAAGCGUGGGGAUCAAACAGG
This 254-nucleotide ribosomal RNA is filed under the name uncultured bacterium. Its description in RNAcentral is "partial 16S ribosomal RNA". It matches the Rfam family "Bacterial small subunit ribosomal RNA", at positions 524 to 776 of the family's 1533-position model. The record is from RNAcentral.